This 1879-nucleotide ribosomal RNA is filed under the name beta proteobacterium JGI 0001002-P8. RNAcentral describes it as "bacterial LSU rRNA". It matches the Rfam family "Bacterial large subunit ribosomal RNA", at positions 14 to 2015 of the family's 2925-position model. The record is from RNAcentral. Lineage: Bacteria; Pseudomonadati; Pseudomonadota; Betaproteobacteria.
AGGGCUUCUGACGGAUGCCUUGGCAUUGAGAGGCGAUGAAGGACGUGGCACGCUGCGAUAAGAGCCGGGGAGGCGCGAGCACCCUUUGAUCCGGCUAUCUCCGAAUGGGGAAACCCACCUUAACGGUCUUCCAACUUAGUCUUGCCUUCGGGCAGGAUCAGGCUUGGUGGAUCGGAAAAGGUAUAAUGGGCUGAAUACAUAGGCUCCAUUAAGCAAACCCGGGGAACUGAAACAUCUCAGUACCCGGAGGAAAGGACAUCAACCGAGACUCCCGUAGUAGUGGCGAGCGAACCGGGACCAGGCCAGUGCUGUCGUGACAUAAAGCUGAACGACUUGGAAAGGUCGGCCAUAGUGGGUGAUAGCCCCGUAAGCGUCAAAUAGCGACAGACUCGAGUAGGGCGGGACACGUGAAAUCCUGUCUGAACAUGGGGGGACCACCCUCCAAGCCUAAGUACUCCUCAAUGACCGAUAGCGAACAAGUACCGUGAGGGAAAGGUGAAAAGCACCCCGACAAGGGGAGUGAAACAGAUCCUGAAAUCGGAAGCCUACAAGCAGUCGGAGCCACCGCGCGUGGUGACGGCGUACCUUUUGUAUAAUGGGUCAGCGACUUCAUGUGCCGUGCAAGCUUAAGCCGUUAGGUGUAGGCGCAGCGAAAGCGAGUCUGAAUAGGGCGAAUAAGUACGUCGCAUGACGACCCGAAACCAGGUGAUCUAUCCAUGAGCAGGUUGAAGGUAAGGUAACACUUACUGGAGGACCGAACCGGUGAAUGUUGAAAAAUUCUCGGAUGACUUGUGGAUAGGGGUGAAAGGCCAAUCAAACCUGGACAUAGCUGGUUCUCCGCGAAAACUAUUUAGGUAGUGCCUCAGACGGACUCCUCGGGGGGUAGAGCACUGAAUGGAUGCGGGCGGAGCGAUCUGUACCAAUUCUAAUCAAACUCCGAAUACCCGAGAGAGAUAUCUGGGAGACACACGGCGGGUGCUAACGUCCGUCGUGAAAAGGGAAACAACCCUAACCAUCAUCUAAGGCCCCCAAGUUCUGGCUAAGUGGGAAACGAUGUGGGUUUGCUUUGACAACCAGGAUGUUGGCUUAGAAGCAGCCAUCAUUUAAAGAAAGCGUAACAGCUCACUGGUCAAGCGAACCUGCGCGGAAAAUGUAACGGGGCUCAAGCCAGACGCCGAAGGUAUGGGUUUGCUCUUUGAGCAAGCGGUAGCGGAGCGUUCCGUAAGCCGGUGAAGGUGAGGCGCGAGCCUUGCUGGAGGUAUCGGAAGUGAGAAUGCUGACAUGAGUAGCGAUAAAGAGUGUGAGAGACACUCUCGCCGAAAGCCCAAGGGUUCCUGCGUAAAGCUAAUCUGCGCAGGGUUAGUCGGCCCCUAAGGCGAGGCCGAAAGGCGUAGUCGAUGGGAAUCAGGUGAAUAUUCCUGAACCAGUUGGAAGUGACGGAUCUGGUAAAUUGUUCGGGCUUAUUGGAUUGCUCCGGGCAGUGAACAGGUCCCUGGAAAUAACUCCAACGGAGACCGUACCCGAAACCGACACAGGUGGGCAGGUAGAGUAUACCAAGGCGCUUGAGAGAAGUGUCCUGAAGGAACUCGGCAAAUUGCACGCGUAACUUCGGGAUAAGCGUGACUCUUCUUUGGGCAACCAGAAAAGAGUGGCACAGGCCAGGGGGUAGCGACUGUUUAUCAAAAACACAGGGCUCUGCGAAGCCGCAAGGCGACGUAUAGGGUCUGACGCCUGCCCGGUGCCGGAAGGUUAAAAGGAGUGGUGCAAGCUGCGAAUUGAAGCCCCGGUAAACGGCGGCCGUAACUAUAACGGUCCUAAGGUAGCGAAAUUCCUUGUCGGGUAAGUUCCGACCUGCACGAAUGGCGUAACGACUUCCCCA